RNAcentral lists this ribosomal RNA (505 nucleotides) under uncultured bacterium. RNAcentral's name for it is "partial 16S ribosomal RNA". It matches the Rfam family "Bacterial small subunit ribosomal RNA", at positions 28 to 507 of the family's 1533-position model. The record is from RNAcentral.
GACGAACGCUGGCGGCGUGCCUAAUACAUGCAAGUAGGACGCACAGUCUAUACCGUAGCUUGCUACACCAUAGGCUGUGAGUUGCGAACGGGUGAGUAACGCGUAGGUAACCUGCCUAUUAGAGGGGGAUAACUAUUGGAAACGAUAGCUAAUACCGCAUAACAGUAUGUAACACAUGUUAGAUGCUUGAAAGAUGCAAUUGCAUCGCUAGUAGAUGGACCUGCGUUGUAUUAGCUAGUAGGUAGGGUAAUGGCCUACCUAGGCGACGAUACAUAGCCGACCUGAGAGGGUGAUCGGCCACACUGGGACUGAGACACGGCCCAGACUCCUACGGGAGGCAGCAGUAGGGAAUCUUCGGCAAUGGGGGGAACCCUGACCGAGCAACGCCGCGUGAGUGAAGAAGGGUUUCGGAUCGUAAAGCUCUGUUGUUAAGGAAGAACGAGCGUGAGAAUGGAAAGUUCAUACUGUGACGGUACUUAACCAGAAAGGGACGGCUAACUACGUG